This 465-nucleotide ribosomal RNA is filed under the name uncultured bacterium. RNAcentral describes it as "partial 16S ribosomal RNA". It matches the Rfam family "Bacterial small subunit ribosomal RNA", at positions 339 to 795 of the family's 1533-position model. The record is from RNAcentral.
CUACGGGUCGCUGCAGUGGGGAAUAUUGGACAAUGGGGGAAACCCUGAUCCAGCAAUGCCGCCUGUGUGAAGAAGGCCUGCGGGUUGUAAAGCACUUUCGGUUGGGAGGACUGCUUCUAGCACUAAUAUUGUUGGAAGUUGACGUUACCUUCAGAAGAAGCACCGGCUAACUCCGUGCCAGCAGCCGCGGAAAUACGGAGGGUGCAAGCGUUAAUCGGAAUUACUGGGCGUAAAGCGCGCGUAGGCGGCUAGAUCAGUCGGGUGUGAAAGCCCCGGGCUUAACCUGGGAACUGCAUCCGAUACUGUCUAGCUUGAGUACAGGAGAGGAGAGUGGAAUUCCACAUGUAGCGGUGAAAUGCGUAGAUAUGUGGAGGAACACCAAUGGCGAAGGCAGCUCUCUGGCCUGAUACUGACGCUGAGGUGCGAAAGCGUGGGGAGCAAACAGGAUUAGAUACCCUAGUAGUC